This is a regulatory RNA element of 103 nucleotides. It matches the Rfam family "Pyrrolysine insertion sequence mttB". The record is from Rfam.
AUGACCGACGCCAAAGCCUUGGACGCGCAAUACGGGGUUGAAAAAGCCAUGACCUCUCUCGCGGCGGCCUUGGCCGGAGGCAACCUGAUUUACGAAAGUUCGG